UAGCAACUUCUUCAUGAGAAGCAAGAGGCGCAGGAUAUUACUUUUUUCCACUCCAUCCUGAGCUAAUUUCUUGGCAGCAGGCUACAUUUUCUGGUCACGGGAAAAUCAAGAAGAGAAAAGAGAGAACAAUAAUGAUGAUUUCAGAUAUAAGAAAGUAAGGCUCUAUGAGACUGUGCAAACCCAUAAUUAAAGAAGAAGCCUGACGCGUGGGAGGUAAAAGCAAGUUCAUUGCGUAUUUAAAAACAAGUUCGCCAUUCAUUCACUUGGCUUUACUCUGGUACAAUUGCCUCGCUACAAUUCACAUCAUCUCCUUGUUUUUUUUGGGAUCAAUUCUCUUCAUGGAUAUUUGAAUUGUAAUCAUGGAAGAUAAUGACGAUAUUUUCUCGAAAAACUUCGCAAUGUUUGCUUUUAUCCAAGUUUAUGAGCUCAGUAAGGGCUUUUUGCAGUGCUUUUUCUUCCAAAUCCUCCCCCCAUUUUCAUACAUGUUCAAAUUCAGAUUCCUUCGUGUCAGCUCUUAUUGUUUCAAUAAGGUCUUGUACUUCGUUCUCUUAUUGCCAGUUACUUCAUUGCAUGGCAAUCAAAUCUUUAAGUUACGAUCAUGGUUUUAUUGGUGAUCAAAUAGUGUCUACUUAUGUUAGUUUGGGAUGCAUAGAAGAUGCCAAUAAUUUGUUCGAUGAAUUGCCUGACAAGGACUUGGUCUCUUGGAAUUCUCUGAUUUCUGGGUUUUCACGUGUAGGAGAUUUUGGUAAUUGCUUAAAAGCAUUUUCCAGGAUGAGAUUUGAAACAGACAUGAAACCCAAUGAUGUUACACUUAUACCUUUAAUUUCAGCUUGUACUGAUACUGCAGUUCUUGAUGUGGGCAAGAAUGUUCACGGGUUUGCAAUGAAAUUAGGUAUUCUUUUGGAGGUGAAAGUUGUUAACGCUCUUAUUAAUUUGUACGGAAAGUCUGGGUAUACGGAUGCAGCUUGUCUAUUAUUCGACGAAAUGCCAUUGCAGAAUUCUAUAUCAUGGAAUUCGGUCAUUGCAGUUCUUGUUCAAAUGGGAUUGGCUGAGGAAGGAAUGAGAUAUUUUAUUAUGAUGAGAAAGGCGGCAAUUGUGGCUGAUCAGGCCACUCUAGUAACCUUGCUUCAAGCCUGUGAAAAUCUAGGUGUAAGGAAACUGGUAGCGGCUAUUCAUGGUUACAUCUUCAGCUGUGGUCUUAAUAUGAACUUAGCUAUAGCAACUUCAUUGCUAAAGUUAUAUGCCAACUUGGGUAUAUUAAGUGCUUCUCAGAAGGUCUUUGGAGAGAUGACUAAGCCUGAUGCAGUGGCAUGGAGUGCCAUGCUUGCAGGCUACGCAGCACAUGGUUGUGGGAAAGAAGCAAUAGAUCUUUUUGAACUCAUGGUUAGAGAAGGCGUGGUGCUUGAUCAUGUUACAUUCACUCACUUGUUAAGUGCUUGUAGUCAUUCAGGGCUAGUGAAGGAGGGAAAAUAUUACUUCAAGAUUAUGUCUAAAGUUUAUGGAGUUGAGCCAAGGGUGGAUCACUAUUCAUGCAUGGUUGAUCUUCUAGGUCGCUCUGGACUUUUAGAUGAUGCUUAUAAGCUUGUCAAAAGCAUGCCAACAGAGUCAAAUUCUGCUGUGUGGGGAGCUCUUAUUGGCGCUUGUAGGGUCUAUGGUAAUGUUGAACUUGGGAAAGAAGUUGCAGAGCAAUUGAUUGCUUUAGACCCAUCAGACUCUAGAAACUACAUCAUGUUAUCAAAUAUGUAUGCUGCAGCUGGUCAAUGGAAAAAUGCUUCAAAGGUGAGGGCAUUGAUGAAGGAAAAAAAUCUCAUCAGAAAUCCUGGAUGUAGUUAUAUAGAACAUGGAAAUAGAAUUCGACGCUUUGUAACGGGUGAUCAAUCUCACCCUGAGACAAAGCAAAUAUAUAAAAAGUUGGAAGAGCUUAUUGGGAAGAUUAGAAAUGCUGGACAUGUAUCAAAAACAGAAUUUGUUCUGCAUGAUGUUGGUGAGGAUGUGAAAGAGGAUCUGAUCAAUAAGCAUAGUGAGAAGUUAGCCAUUGCAUUUGGACUUUUGGUGACUAAUGCUAACAUGCCAUUAAUUAUAACAAAGAACCUCAGAAUAUGUGGUGACUGUCACAGCUGUGCAAAGUUUGUAUCACUGAUAGAGAGGCGUACAAUAAUAAUUCGGGAUAGGAAGCGGUUUCACCAUUUUGCCAAUGGAUCAUGUUCAUGUGGGGAUUACUGGUAAUACUCUGCUUCAACUGUGAUAUUAACUUAUGUAUGUACCCAAAUUACACCCUUAUGAUAUUUAGAUACAAACUUCACAAUGAUUGCUGCACAUUCACCAAUAUAAGCAAUUCUUCGUAUCAAAAUAUUU
This 2355-nucleotide unclassified non-coding RNA is filed under the name Hevea brasiliensis (rubber tree). Lineage: Eukaryota; Viridiplantae; Streptophyta; Magnoliopsida; Malpighiales; Euphorbiaceae. The record is from RNAcentral.